GAUGAACGCUGGCGGCGUGCCUAAUACAUGCCAGUCGAGCGAACGGACGAGAAGCUUGCUUCUCUGAUGUUAGCGGCGGACGGGUGAGUAACACGUGGAUAACCUACCUAUAAGACUGGGAUAACUUCGGGAAACCGGAGCUAAUACCGGAUGAUAUUUUGAACCGCAUGGUUCAAAAGUGAAAGACGGUCUUGCUGUCACUUAUAGAUGGAUCCGCGCUGCAUUAGCUAGUUGGUAAGGUAACGGCUUACCAAGGCAACGAUGCAUAGCCGACCUGAGAGGGUGAUCGGCCACACUGGAACUGAGACACGGUCCAGACUCCUACGGGAGGCAGCAGUAGGGAAUCUUCCGCAAUGGGCGAAAGCCUGACGGAGCAACGCCGCGUGAGUGAUGAAGGUCUUCGGAUCGUAAAACUCUGUUAUUAGGGAAGAACAUAUGUGUAAGUAACUGUGCACAUCUUGACGGUACCUAAUCAGAAGGCCACGGCUAACUACGUG
RNAcentral lists this ribosomal RNA (497 nucleotides) under uncultured bacterium. RNAcentral describes it as "partial 16S ribosomal RNA". It matches the Rfam family "Bacterial small subunit ribosomal RNA", at positions 28 to 507 of the family's 1533-position model. The record is from RNAcentral.